CGCAACUAUGAGGAGCACUGCCCUGUUGUAUGUGAUGGAGUCAAAGAGAAGAAAUAUAUGGCAUGCACUCAACAGGGAGCCGGAUCCUGGGCUGGGUUUGCAAUACAACAGUGCGCUGCCACGUGCUGACCGGUGAGAUCGGCAGGAGAGGUGUUUGAGUGCAGGAAGCAGCCUAAAAAUGAUGCAUGAACCAGCAGUACAUCAGAUCGUUUAGGCUCUACCUUACUGUAGCCAGAAAUAGGAAAUAAAACUUGCAAUCUGACUGUUUUCA
Molecule: long non-coding RNA, 271 nt
Filed under: Anas platyrhynchos platyrhynchos (common mallard)
Lineage: Eukaryota; Metazoa; Chordata; Aves; Anseriformes; Anatidae
Description: lncRNA (ENSAPLG00000016611.1)
Source: RNAcentral